ACUCUCCCAGCUCUGCACUGUUACACUUGACUUCACACGUGUGACUUUCGUAAUGGGGAGAGAGAGAAAGGACCCCCUCAGGACCUCAGUUGGCCUCACAGUGGCCAGCCUUUCCCUGAGGGGCGCAACAAGC
Molecule: small nucleolar RNA, 133 nt
Organism: Pipistrellus kuhlii (Kuhl's pipistrelle)
Lineage: Eukaryota; Metazoa; Chordata; Mammalia; Chiroptera; Vespertilionidae
Product: small nucleolar RNA SNORA64/SNORA10 family
Exons: 1
Source: RefSeq, a predicted model, not a curated record